This is a long non-coding RNA of Cornus florida, 5527 nucleotides long. RefSeq lists it as uncharacterized. The transcript has 5 exons. The record is from RefSeq and is a predicted model, not a curated record. NCBI's taxonomy places the organism in Eukaryota, Viridiplantae, Streptophyta, Magnoliopsida, Cornales, Cornaceae.
AAAUUACAUACCUUUUUUUACAUUUAUGUAUUUAGUAUUAAAAAUAAUGCAAUAGCAAAAUUUCAGCAACCUCGACCAAAAAUUAAAAAAAACGUAAAAUAGUCUGGGCACAUGCAUGAUGGGCCACAAGAAUUUAACCCAAAAAAAAAAAAAAAAAAAAUUUUAUGGGCCACAAGAAAAGAAAAACAAAAUUUAGGGCAAAUCGUUUCAGCCUCCCCGAUCUCUCCGCCUCCAUCUCUAUUCUCGUUCUCAACUCUGAACUUACCCUCUCUGUAUGUCUCUCUCUCUCUCUCUCUCUGCACUACAAGAAUCAGAAGUUCAAAACCCAUAUAUUUCAGUUUGUCUAUCUGUCUGCAAGAAUCAAAAGUUCAAAACCCAUAUCGGCAUAUCAUUUCAGAUUGUUCAAAAAAUCAAAACCCAUAUCUUUCAGUUUCCAUCGCCCGCUGUUCCAGUUCGGGUUCGCCGUUCGCAAGCUUCAGCUGUUGUCUCUCAACUCUCCAAGCUUGCCCCCCAUUCCGCCGGCAACCCUCUACGACACAACUCUCUCUCUCUCGUGGAUCAGCUCCACCGUAUGAAUCCGCCAGUAGCCCUCCAUGCCACAACUCUCUCUCUCAUGGAUCUCGAAAUAUCCAUAGAUUGAGUCCAUAAAACCAGAUAUUGAGAUCGGCGUUCAUGGUUCUUGAAUAGGUGAUCGUCAACGUGUAACCGAGCCCGAGCCCGAGCCGGGCCGAGCCGAGUCCGAGCUUGCGAAAACUUUAAGAUAGUAUCUGUUGCUCUUCCAGUAUCCGUUGGUCUUCUAGUGUAACCAUUUGGGUAGGCGUUCCUAAGACCAGAUGCUGAAAAUCCUAAGACCAUUUGGGUAGAGAUGAUAAUUUUCAGCAUCUGCCUACCCAAAUGGUUACACUGAAGACCAACAGAUACUAUCUUGUUAUGAGAUCACUCGUGGGAGUCCGUUCAGAAAUACGAAGGGGUUUGGUUGAGUCAUCACAAUCGGGUUUAGGAGCUAUUGCUGAAUCAUUUCGAGUUGAUAAUUCUGAUUCAACAACAAAUUUUUUGAAUGAUUCCGAUCUAGCCUAUUGUAGAUCAAUUCUUUCAAUACCAUAGAAUCCUGCAAAAACAUUUGAAAAGGUCCUCAAACGUAUAAAGGACAUGGGGUGCGAGUAUAUGGACUACAACAAAAACAUGUUGUAGCUAAGCCAUCAUCAUUUCGUCUCUCCACAUGUAGCUUGGACCUAAAACUGUAUCAUACUUAUCCAUUUAUUUUCAUAAUUUUCUCCUCUUUGCAGUAUGUUUUUUUUUUUUUUUUUUUAUUUAAAUUUUGUCUCCCCAAUCUAAUACUUUCUUCAUUUGUUUUUAUUGCUCUAUUUUCAGCUGUAUAGAUGCGAUAUAUUCCCAGCUGUUUUCUAUAGAUUCGAUAUAGUUAUACACAUAAAUUUUCACACAUCUCUUCUCUGCAUAAAUAUACUGAUAUUAAUUUUGGGACCAUAGUUAGACCUAUUACAUCAAAAGGAUGGAAUUCUUAAGCUCGAGUCAAAUUUCUAAUAACUCAAAGCUUAUAAGUCGACUCUCUCCCUCUUUUCAAGCUAUAAGACCUUUUUAGCCGAAAAAACUUUCCAAGCCUUUUUUGAUUGUUUAUCUUGUAGAAAUAUAGAAGAACUACUGUCGGCUUUGCUCACCAAGCGCAUGUUGAUAUGUCUCAUAUAGUCCAUUCUAUUUCUGACAUUAACAUACACAAAUCAGUGCUUUUUGAAGGUCCAGCAGGUUUGUUUCUGUCAAACAAUUAGUCCUUGAAGUAUAUUUAAUUUUAAUAACCAAUAGUCAUUGUCCUGUAGGAUGACAUAUUUAUCUCAUUUAAUUUCAGGUACCAGGAAGACUUCUUGUGCUCGUCUUAUUGCCAGUCGAACGGGUGUUCCGAUGCUAUUUGUGCCAACCGGAGUUAUUUUGCUAGAGUAUAUCGACAAUAGUGAACGCCUAUUAGGAGAACUAUUUUGGAUUGCUCAUAGGCUUCCUGGUGCUGUAAUAUUCCUUGAUGGGGCAUGAUACAUUUACUCUUCCUCGUUGUGAUGAAGAGUAUAAAGCUACAUGCAGAAUUGCAUCAAAGUUACUGGAAGAGAUUGAAGAUAUUGAACAUGAUGAAAAAUAAUGGUCAUUGCUGCAGCCAGUAGUACACACAAGCUUUAUGGAAAUUUGUUAAGGUAUUUAGGUGGCAAUUUUUAUUUAUACGGCGGUAAUUCCCAGGUUUUCUAACUUGUAUUUUAUUUUAUUUUUUAUUAUUAUUUUUUUUUCAGUGAGGAUUAAAUUUGACCUACCUGAUUAGGGGAACUGCCAAAAAAUAGCUUUGCUAUUUGCUAAGCCCUUGACAGCAAUUGAAUUAGCUGAAUUUGCAACAAAUAGUGAAGGGUAAGUUUGACAUAACCAUCACUGAUUAAAAACUUUUGCCUUUUGUCUUUUUUUUCUUUCUUUCUUUCUUUCUGUUCUAUGCAUUUGAAAUAUGUUUGGUUUGCUUUGACUCUAACAAACAACAAAUAGUGAAGGGAUACGUACUUGGAGACAUCUGGGUAUAUCCCGAAACCUAGGACUAUAAAUGUCAUCAUUAGGGCAAGAAUAAAGAAUUAAGGCUUUAUUUACAUAAUAUCUUUUAGUUUCUUGUUAAUUUCAUGCAUUCCGAAUCAUAACUUUCUUUGAAUUAAUUCUAUGCAUAUUGGAAAUUUUAUUUACCUAUUCACUUCACGUUCUUUUUCAUGAAGAACACCAUUUGUUAAAUAUUAAAGGGUGAUCAGAGAAUAAAAGGAAUGAAACUCAAUUUUCCUAUGUAAUAUGAAUGUAAAUUGCAUUUAAAUGAAGUAUUCAAAAUUAUGCAAUGAAGAUUGAACCUGAACAUUAUAAUCAAGUAAAUUCCAAAAGCCUAUAUUUAAAACUCGGGGGGAAAAUGAUGACUCUCAGAUUCCAAACUAAACAAAGAAAAAAUUAUCAAACACAAUAAACAUAGAGUAGAAACAUAGAAAGAAAAAGAAAAAGAGAAAAGCAAAUAUGGAUAGUCAUAACUAUAAAGCAAAUAUGCAACCAACAAAAUUUAUGUUGAGAUCAGUAAAAUCGAACCUGCAUUUUAACAUUAAUAUAAGUUUUUGAUAGAGAAGGAAGUCGAGAAGCCGAAUUAGAGAAGGAAAUUAUUUGAUAGAGAAGGAAAUCCUUUGGUAGAGAAGGAAAUUAUUUGUUAUCUAAAUUAUUAAGCGUUUGAUAGAGAAGGAAGUCGAGAAGCUGAAUUAGAGAAGGAAAUCGUUUGUUACUUUUGAAGUAUGAACCCAACCUCAAAAAUCCUAAUUUAAUCUAAAACCGUAACAUUAAUAAAAUUAAAAUCUCUAAAUUAUUAAGUGUUUGAAUUGUUUUGUACCUUUCGUCUACCAGAGCAAAAUUGAACUUGCAUUUUAACAUUAAUAUAAGUUUUUGAUCGAGAAGGAAGUCGAGAAGCCGAAUUAGAGAAGGAAAUCGUUUGAUAGAGAAGGAAAUUAUUUGUCACUUUUGAAGUAUGAACCCAACCUCAAAAACCCCCAAUUUAAUCUAAAACCCUUAUAUUAAUAAAAUUAAAAUAUCUAUAUUAUUAAACGAUUUGAAUUGUAUCGUAUCUUUCAUCUACCAGAGCAAGCGUUCAUCAGACAAAGAGAGAGAGAUUAACUGCGAGGGUGUAGAGAAUGCUUGCUGCUUGCGGCCCAAGCGUGUGCUUGCUUCUCAAGUUAGGGUUUUAUUCAACUUUUAGGAAUUCAUCUUAUAUUUAUUUAGAGUGUCAAGUGCUAAAAAAAAAAAAAAAAAAAAAAAAAAAUUCUCAUUAAACUAUUCAAUCAUUGGAAUUCCCUUGGAACUACAAAAUGCUCUCUUUAAUUAUUAAUUUGUUGUAAUUAAAGACAAUUCCAUUACAAAAGAUAAUUUUAUCUUUUUCUUAGUAAAUUUGUCAUUUUUAUUAAAUAUUUUAAUUAUUGUUUCUCUUAUCUAAAUCUUAAUUAUACCAUUUACUUUAAUUUUAUUAUUAAUAUCAAUUUAUCAUAAAAAUAAAUAGAUUUGUAAUUACCAUUUUCUAAAAUGAUUAACUUACUAUUUAUUUUUCAUACUAUAUAUUCAUGAAAAAUUAAUAAAAUACUUAAAUAAAAAUACAUUCUUUUUCAUGCAAUAAAUUCAUGACAACUUAAGAAAUUACUUAAAUUGUUUUACAAUUUUACUGCUGGAUAUAUUUAUUUAAACUGUUAAUUUAAAAAAUUAAAGGUAAAUUUAUGCAAAUUUAAUGGAGAAUAUAUCAUCAAAUUAAUAUGAUUUUUUUUCAUAAAUUAUUUCAAUAACAAAAAUUGUUAAGUGUAAUUCAAGAGGAAAGGGCAUAAUGUUCUUUUAAUGAAAAAUAGCUUUUAGGCAUUGGGACAUUUUGCAAGAAAAUGUGAUAUUUCAUGGGGUAUUAUGCACAAAAUAUAUUUCAAGUGAGUAAUUUGCAAAUUUGAAUAUAGUUUAGUGUGUUUUUUUGCACUUUAUCUUUAUUUAUAUUUUUAAAAGUGUUUCUAAAUUUAUUUUUUAUUAUUUUUUUUUUUUAUUUAUUUUUUCAGUUAACCUUUUAAGUCUUUUUUUGACUUUAAUCCGGUAAGUCUGUUUUUUUGGGUAAAUAAUUUUCUAAGUCUUUUGUUGGCGAAAAAUCUAGGGAUUAUUACGUAUAAAUAAUGUAAAUGACUCAUAUUUACCAUUGAUUUAGUCAAAGUUUCAUAAUUUCAAAAAAAAUGAAAACAUGAAAAAAUACUGUUUAUCCUCACUGAGGUACCACUUUUAAGAUCAUAUCUGAGCUUUGGGACUAGAUAUUUGAGAUGGUUCUUUGGUUAUUGACAUAUCCACUCAAUUAAAAUUUAUUAAUCCACUUAAUAUUCAGGUUAAAAUUUUAGGUAGAAUGGGUAGUCAUAUUAUUUUUAAUUGGUCAAUGCAUGCUUAAAUUUAAGAAAGUGUGAUACUCCACUUCUUUAUCUCAAACAUUAAUAACAAAUUAAAUAUAUUCCGUCAAAUAAUUAUAUGCAACUCUUCAAAUCAAAUAUCAUUACUCUUAUAUCACCAAUGACUUAAGAGUUACGUUUAAUGGCAUGUUGGCAUACUUGUGUUGAUUAUGAUUUUCUUGAUAUUCCUGUUUAAGAUCUCGAAUUUCUUUAUCUAUUAUUUGCUUGUUGAUUCAAGGGAGCCCAAAGCAAAUGCUUUAGGCAUUUUUUACUGAGCCAUUGUGCUCACCCAUUCUUUAACAUUUUUAUGACAUGGUAAGGAAAUUGUAGAAGAAGCACCCUGCAAGCUUAGAAAUCGUUGAUGCAUUUUGUUAUUCUUUGGAAAUGUAAUUACAUAGACAAUGGAAUCAUUUAAUCUUAUUCUUUUGCUAGAUUCAUGUGAAGCUUUUGUAAUCAUGGCCACGGAGGCCUUAUUGUUUUGUAAAUCUAUUCUUUUGGAUAAUGAGUAUUCUUUUGGGAUAUGUAUGUAAUGGAUCAUGAAAGUUUUCAAUCUUUAAAUGAUGAAUCAAUUA